UGAACGCUGGCGGUAUGCUUUACACAUGCAAGUCGAACGGCAGCACGGGGCAACCUGGUGGCGAGUGGCGAACGGGUGAGUAACAUAUCGGAACAUAUCCGGAAGUGGGGGAUAACGUAGCGAAAGUUACGCUAAUACCGCAUAUGCCCUGAGGGGGAAAGGGGGGGAUCGCAAGACCUCUCGCUUUCGGAGUGGCCGAUAUCGGAUUAGCUAGAUGGUGAGGUAAAGGCUCACCAUGGCGACGAUCCGUAGCGGGUCUGAGAGGACGACCCGCCACACUGGAACUGAGACACGGUCCAGACUCCUACGGGAGGCAGCAGUGGGGAAUUUUGGACAAUGGGCGCAAGCCUGAUCCAGCCAUACCGCGUGAGUGAAGAAGGCCUUCGGGUUGUAAAGCUCUUUCAGCCGGAAAGAAAUCGCACUUUUUAAUACGGAGUGUGGAUGACGGUACCGGAAGAAGAAGCACCGGCUAACUACGUGCCAGCAGCCGCGGUAAUACGUAGGGUGCGAGCGUUAAUCGGAAUUACUGGGCGUAAAGCGUGCGCAGGCGGUUUGAUAAGACAGAUGUGAAAUCCCCGGGCUCAACCUGGGAACUGCAUUUGUGACUGUCAGACUAGAGUGUAGCAGAGGGGGGUAGAAUUCCACGUGUAGCAGUGAAAUGCGUAGAGAUGUGGAGGAAUACCGAUGGCGAAGGCAGCCCCCUGGGCUAACACUGACGCUCAUGCACGAAAGCGUGGGGAGCAAACAGGAUUAGAUACCCUGGUAGUCCACGCCCUAAACGAUGUCAACUAGGUGUUGGGGAAGGAGACUUCUUUAGUACCGCAGCUAACGCGUGAAGUGACC
This 843-nucleotide ribosomal RNA is filed under the name uncultured bacterium. RNAcentral's name for it is "bacterial SSU rRNA". It matches the Rfam family "Bacterial small subunit ribosomal RNA", at positions 30 to 870 of the family's 1533-position model. The record is from RNAcentral.